Molecule: RNA transcript, 5713 nt
Organism: Oreochromis aureus
Lineage: Eukaryota; Metazoa; Chordata; Actinopteri; Cichliformes; Cichlidae
Gene name: serine/arginine repetitive matrix protein 1-like
Exons: 36
Source: RefSeq, a predicted model, not a curated record
UCUACUUUCACUUUUCCUUUGACCGUAAACGGUGGGCGUUUUUGUGAUCAAGCGAGAAUAGACUGAGAAUACGAUCAAAAAUAUCUACAUCUAACAGUAUUUGGGGUUUUUUUUCCAUCCCAGCGUCUUUUCUUUUGCUCCUGUAGGCUCAGCUUGCACAGCAGGUGAAAUCAUGGAUGAUUUGCUUAAGGAAAUAAGAAGCAAGGAUGAAGCAGCAGCAUCUGUACUGGAAAUAGCAGGUUUGAGAGCUGACUCAGAUCUCCGGUCACUGACUUUACAAGAACUGGGUGAGCUGUUGCCUGGAGCUAAAAAUUUCAAACUGAGAAGGGAAAUCUUUGAUAUAAUACAGACGCAGAAACCAAUUGGUGAGCUCAUAAAAGAAUUCAAGAACUUCAUCCCACAUGAAUCUCUCGGCACUACCUUAACGGAAAAUGGAAUCUUGGUCAACUACCUGAAAAUGUUGAAGGAAAUGAAGAACCAAAUGCAAACAGCGCAGGAUUUCCUUGAUGCUCAUAUCCGUCUACUGGAAGACAUCAGGAAAUCUAAACCAUCGCAGGACCAGAACAGAGGAUCUUUGUCAAGUAGUCACAAUAGCCAAACUGGUGACCCUCCACAAACACAACAAGAUACAAGUACCAGUAGUUCAAUGCUGCCCCCACCUUCUACUACCUCCACUGGUGACCAUCCACAGAAAAGAAAAGGUGAAAUCAUGGAUGUUUUGCUUAAGGAAAUAAGAAGCAAAGAUGGAAAAGCAGCCUCUAUACUGGAAAAGGCAGGUUUGAGAGCUGACUCAGAUCUCCAGUUACUGACUUUACAAGAGCUGGGUGAGCUGUUCCCUGGAGUUGAAAAUAUCAAAUGGAGAAGGGAAAUCUUUGCUAUAAUACAGACGCAGAAACCAAUUGAUGUGCUCAUAGAAGAAUUCAAGAACUUCAUCCGACAUGAAUCUCUCAGGGCUGCCUUAACGGAAAAUGGAGUCUUGGUCGACUACCUGAAAAUGUUGAAGGAAAUGAAGACCCAAAUGAAAACAGUGCAAGGUUUCCUUGAUGCUCAUAUCAAUCUACUGGAGGACUUGAGGAAAUCUCAACCAUCGCAGGACCAAGACAAAGGUUCUUUGUCAAGUAGUGACAAUAGCCAAACUGGUGACCCUCCACAAAUACAACAAGAUAUAACUGCCAGUAGUGCAAUGAUGUCCCCACCCUCUCCUACCUCCACUCCAGACCAUCCAAAGAAAAGAUCAGGUUCUUUGUCAAGUAGUGACAAUAGCCAAACUGGUGACCCUCCACAAAUACAACAAGAUAUAACUGCCAGUAGUGCAAUGAUGUCCCCACCCUCUCCUACCUCCUCUCCAGACCAUCCAAAGAAAAGACCAGGUUCUUUCUCAAGUAGUCCAGCGAAGCGCCACAAUAACCAAACUAGUGAUUCUUCACAAAUACAACAAGAUAUAACUGCUAGUAGUGCAAUGAUGUCCCCACCCUCUCCUACCUCCACUCGAGACCAUCCAGAGGAAAGAUCAGGUUCUUUGUCAAGUAGUGACAAUAGCCAAACUGGUGACCCUCCACAAAUACAACAAGAUAUAACUGCCAGUAGUGCAAUGAUGUCCCCACCCUCUCCUACCUCCUCUCCAGACCAUCCAGUGAAAAGACCAGGUUCUUUGUCAAGUAGUGACAAUAGCCAAACUGGUGACCCUCCACAAAUACAACAAGAUAUAACUGCUAGUAGUGCAAUGAUGUCCCCACCCUCUCCUACCUCCACUCGAGACCAUCCAGAGGAAAGAUCAGGUUCUUUGUCAAGUAGUCACAAUAGCCAAACUGGUGACCCUCCACAAAUACAACAAGAUAUAACUGCCAGUAGUGCAAUGAUGUCCCCACCCUCUCCUACCUCCUCUCCAGACCAUCCAGAGAAAAGACCAGGUUCUUUGUCAAGUAGUCACAAUAGCCAAACUGGUGACCCUCCACAAAUACAACAAGAUAUAAUUGCUAGUAGUGCAGUGAUGUCCCCACCCUCUCUUACCUCCACUCCAGACCAUCCAGAGGAAAAACCAGGAUCUUUGUCAAGUAGUCACAAUAGCCAAACUGGUGACCCUCCACAAAUACAACAAGAUAUAACUGCCAGUAGUGCAAUGAUGUCCCCACCCUCUCUUACCUCCUCUCCAGACCAUCCAGAGAAAAGACCAGGAUCUUUGUCAAGUAGUCACAAUAGCCAAACUGGUGACCCUCCACAAAUACAACAAGAUAUAAUUGCUAGUAGUGCAAUGAUGUCCCCACCCUCUCCUACCUCCACUCCAGACCAUCCAGAGGAAAAACCAGGUUCUUUGUCAAGUAGUGACAAUAGCCAAACUGGUGACCCUCCACAAAUACAACAAGAUAUAACUGCCAGUAGUGCAAUGAUGUCCCCACCCUCUCUUACCUCCACUCCAGACCAUCCAGAGAAAAGACCAGGUUCUUUCUCAAGUAGUCCAGCGAAGCGCCACAAUAGCCAAACUAGUGACUCUUCACAAAUACAACAAGAUUGCAGUAGCAGGAGCCGGAGUCUUUCUAGGCUCUCUUUUAUUUCCACCUAUGUCCAGCCACAGAAAAGACAAGUGACGUACAAGAUGGUCGUCAGCGGAGUAACCUUUGAUGCCCAUAACCAGCUACUGGACAGAGUAACGACUUCAAUCGGGGGUAGAGCUUUAAAGUUGCUCAGUCAGGAGGAUGGUGAAGUCAUCAUUGUCUUCUGUCCUGUUGUUUCACGUAUGGGGACAGAUGUUGAGGCAGCCAUGGCAAAAAUCACAGGUGAUAAACCUGUCAUACUGGUUGUGAUGCAUCACACAUAUGGAGCCAGAUCUGUACCCUCAGUGAAAACAUGGAAGGAUUCUUGUAAGGUCGUUUUGCAUGUUCAUGUUUUCUACCAUGAGAAGGUCCCUGGAUUGCUGUCGUGUCAGGAAAAUAAUGAUGCCAUCUCCAGGAUACGAACAGAAUUACUGAAAUAUGGUGUUGACAUAACAGAAAGUACAAGUGGAGAUGAUCAGAGUUGGUUAAGUUCGCAAGUUUCCCGGUUUCAAAAUUCAUUUAAAAAAAAGAAACAAUGAAAGUAUAAUGCCUGCAACUACAAGUAAAAGAAACUAUAAUAGCUUGUGUCAGCUUCAGCUGUAAAUAGAAGAAACAGUAAAAAACAAGUACAGCUUAUUUGUCUGCAUCUGUACUGUCUGUGUGUUUAUCAUCAGUUCAAGUCUAAAAGAGUUAUUGUCAUGUGAAAACAUGACAUGACAUAUUAGUUUUUGUGUGGUUGUACACCAGUCAGGACUUUAUCUAAUACAACUGAAAAAACAAAAACCACAAAUGAGCAUUUUAUGGUGCGUGGGAAUCAUUUAUAUUUAAAAAAAAGUUCAAGGAUUCAAAGAUUAGUAUUUUUAGUAUUUCUUUAGUUACGCAAAUAAAGUCAGGGUUUAAGAUAAGAUAAGAUAAGAUAAGAUAACCCUUAUUAGUCUCACACGUGGGAAAUUUGUUUAAAAUAUUUGUUUAAAAUUUAAAAUGCUGAUAUACUGUAUGAAUAGAACUUUAUUGUGCUACUGUUUUAUCUUUUUUUUGUAUUUUUUUUUUUGGGGGGGGGAGUCCUGAACACGUCAAAACACCAGUGUAAUGAUAAUCCACUAUAGCCUGUUCUAUGGAACAGCACUGGUUCAGCUAAUAUUUCUGUCUUUAGUUUCUAUAUUCUGUACAAAGACACCUGAAAGUAGAUUAGGACUGUAAUGCAAAGCCCAUCUUUAGCUAUGUACAUGUUCAUGUCUUUCCCACAGUUCAGAAGAGCAAAUAAAGUCAGGGUUUAAGUUAAGAUAAGAUAAGAUAAGAUAACCUUUAUUAGUCCCACACGUGGGAAAUUUGUUUAAAAUAUUUGUUUAAAAUUUAAAAUGCUGAUAUACUGUGUGAAUACAACUUUAUUGUGCUACUGUUUUAUCUUAUUUUUAUUUUUAUUGGGGACUCCUGAACACUCACCAGUGUAAUGAUAAUGCACUACAGGUGGUUUUAAGGAACGUCAGUGGUUCAGCUAAUAUUUCUGUCUUUAGUUUCUAUAUUCUGUACAAAAACAGAUUUACACUACAGUGCAAAGCCCACACUUGAAAAGCAUUCAUAAACUAUAUAGAUGCAAACAUUUUAAAAAGAUCAUAGAUGGAAAUGGAAAAGAUUUUAUAAAUAGAAAACCAAAUGAUACAUAAGUGAUCAUAAUAUCUGUGCUUUUUUAGUUCUAUGUUUCCCCCCAAAGGCCAAUAUAUCAAAACAAAGCAGAAUGAUUUAAAUGUUCUCAUUAACUUAUUCUUUUAUCCAGUGCUUUAAAGUCUCACUAAAAUGCCUACUGUAUACAGUGUAUUAAGUAGCUUAUUAACGGUUAUAGCAAAAUGAGCUCUGGUGCUACAUAGUAAGAUUGAAACAUUUUUUUUUUCGCCUUAUGGGUGGUGUAAACUUUAUCAUUUAAAUGAAGAUGAACUAUCAGAAACUGCACUGUGUUCCAGUGUAAUUUAUAGAAGGCAGCAGGUGAAAAAGUCUGUGUCCAAGGUGUGAGGGAUCUGUAAUGAUUUUCCCUGCCCAUUACAAGUCCUGGAUGGAGGGCAGGGGGCGCCGAUAAUCUUUUCUGCUACCCGUACAGUCCGCUGCAGUCUGCACCUGUCCUGUUUAGUGGCUGCUCCAUACCAAACUGUGAUGGAGUAACACAGGACAGACUCAAUGACUGCAGUGUAGAACUGGAUCAGCAGCUCUUGUGAAAGACUGUACUUCCCCAGUUGUCUCAGGAAGUACGACGUCUGCUGUGUCUUUUUGAGGAUGGAGGAGAUGUUAGUCUCUCACUUCAGGUCCUGGGAGAUGGUGGUACCCAGGAACUUGAAGAUCUCCACAGUAGACACCGGGCUGUCUGAUAAUGUGAGAGGGAGCAAUAAUUGAGGGAUGUCUCCUGAAGUCCACUGUCAUCUCUACAGUCUUAAGUGUGUUCACUUCCAGGUUGUGCUGACUGGACCAGAGUACUCAGCUCAACUUCCUGUCGAUAUGCAGACUCAUCACCAUCCUGAAUGAGGCCAAUGACGGUGGUGUCAUCUGCAAAAAUCAGGAGUUGCAGCUGAACAGCCGAGUUCUUGGAGGUGCAGUCAUUGGUGUAGAGGGAGAACAAUAGUGGUGAGAGGAUACAGCCUUGAGGGGCACCAAUACUGAGGGACCGUGUUCUGGAGGACAUCUACAAGAAGCAGUGCCUGAGAAGCAGCAGACUGAGGGACAGCUUUUUCUAUCAGGUCACCAGACUGCUGAACAGUGACACUUCAUAGACACCUCACUCUCACCUACCGGAACGUCAACACUAUACACUCCAUAUUGUACAUAUAUGCCAUUUCUUUUGCACUAUACUCAAACUGCUGACCUAUGUAUAUUUAACAUAUAUGUAUAUAUACACACACACAGAUAGAUAGAUAGAUAGAUAGAUAGAUAGAUAGAUAGAUAGAUAGAUAGAUAGAUAGAUAGAUAGAUAGAUAGAUAGAUAGAUAGAUAGAUAGAUAGACAUGGCAUACAUAUUAGUAAUGUGCAUACAUUCUUAUAAUUGUACAUUCCUCUUCUUAUAUUUGACUUGUUUCUUAUGUUUCUUGUAUUUUUCCAUACCACUGUUGCUUGUGAAGCUCGCAUACCAGAAUCUCACUCACAUGUCCUGUACCAGUGUAUCAGUUAUGUGACGUGACAAUAAAAGUGCUUUGAUUUGA